UGGGGAAUAUUGCACAAUGGGCGAAAGCCUGAUGCAGCAACGCCGCGUGAGUGAUGAAGGUCUUCGGAUUGUAAAGCUCUGUCUUUUGGGACGAUAAUGACGGUACCAAAGGAGGAAGCCACGGCUAACUACGUGCCAGCAGCCGCGGUAAUACGUAGGUGGCGAGCGUUGUCCGGAUUUACUGGGCGUAAAGGGUGCGUAGGCGGAUGUUUAAGUGAGAUGUGAAAUACUCGGGCUUAACUUGGGUGCUGCAUUUCAAACUGGAUAUCUAGAGUGCAGGAGAGGAGAAUGGAAUUCCUAGUGUAGCGGUGAAAUGCGUAGAGAUUAGGAAGAACACCAGUGGCGAAGGCGAUUCUCUGGACUGUAACUGACGCUGAGGCACGAAAGCGUGGGUAGCAAACAGGAUUAGAUACCCUGGUAGUCCACGCCGUAAACGAUGAGUACUAGGUGUAGGAGGUAUCGACCCCUUCUGUGCCGCAGUAAACACAUUAAGUACUCCGCCUGGGAAGUACGAUCGCAAGAUUAAAAC
Molecule: ribosomal RNA, 529 nt
Filed under: uncultured bacterium
Lineage: Bacteria
Description: partial 16S ribosomal RNA
Rfam family: Bacterial small subunit ribosomal RNA
Source: RNAcentral